This 701-nucleotide ribosomal RNA is filed under the name uncultured bacterium. RNAcentral describes it as "bacterial SSU rRNA". It matches the Rfam family "Bacterial small subunit ribosomal RNA", at positions 8 to 692 of the family's 1533-position model. The record is from RNAcentral.
AGAGUUUGAUCAUGGCUCAGAAUCAACGCUGGCGGCGUGCCUAACACAUGCAAGUCGCGCGCGAAAGGGGGGCAACCCCCAAGUAGAGCGGCGAACGGGUGAGUAACGCGUGGGUGAUCUUCCUUCGAGUGGGGAAUAACACCGGGAAACUGGUGCUAAUACCGCAUGACAUCCCUGGUUCAUUCCAGGGAUCAAAGCCGGGGACCGCAAGGCCUGGCGCUUGAAGAUGAGCCCGCGUCCGAUUAGCUAGUUGGCGGGGUAACGGCCCACCAAGGCUCCGAUCGGUAGCCGGCCUGAGAGGGCGGACGGCCACACUGGGACUGAGACACGGCCCAGACUCCUACGGGAGGCAGCAGUGGGGAAUUUUUCGCAAUGGGGGAAACCCUGACGAAGCAACGCCGCAUGGAGGAUGAAGGCCUUCGGGUCGUAAACUCCUGUCGACUGGGAAGAAUGCACCUGACCUAAUACGUCGGCGUGUUGACUGUACCGGUGGAGGAAGCCACGGCUAACUCUGUGCCAGCAGCCGCGGUAAUACAGAGGUGGCAAGCGUUGUUCGGAAUUACUGGGCGUAAAGGGCGCGUAGGCGGCCCGUUAAGUCCCGUGUGAAAGCCCCCGGCUCAACCGGGGAACGGCGCGGGAAACUGGCAGGCUUGAGUUCGGGAGAGGGAAGCGGAAUUUCGGGUGUAGCGGUGAAAUGCGCA